This 775-nucleotide ribosomal RNA is filed under the name uncultured Neocallimastigales. RNAcentral describes it as "partial large subunit ribosomal RNA". It matches the Rfam family "Eukaryotic large subunit ribosomal RNA", at positions 24 to 635 of the family's 3401-position model. The record is from RNAcentral. Lineage: Eukaryota; Fungi; Neocallimastigomycota; Neocallimastigomycetes; Neocallimastigales.
UAUGUGAUCGUCUCUCGCAUAUCAAUAAGCGGAGGAAAAGAAACUAACAAGGAUUCCCCUAGUAACGGCGAGUGAAGCGGGAAGAGCUCAAAUUUGAAAUCUUAAAGGGUUUCCCUUUACGAAUUGUAGUUUAAAGAAGUGUUUUCUGUUGAGGUUUUGGUAAAAGUUCUUUGGAAUAGGACAUCAUAGAGGGUGAGAAUCCCGUAUUUGACCUUUACUUUCAACUUUGUGAUACACUUUCAAAGAGUCGGAUUGUUUGGGAAUGCAGUCCAAAAUGGGUGGUAAAUUUCAUCUAAAGCUAAAUAUUGGCGAGAGACCGAUAGCGAACAAGUACCGUGAGGGAAAGAUGAAAAGAACUUUGAAAAGAGAGUUAAACAGGUACGUGAAAUUGUCAAAAGGGAAGCGUUUGACACCAGUGUUGUUUUUCUGAAAAUCAAUUAAAGAACUGUUUAUGCUAAGCUGUUUAGACUUUAUCAGCUAUCUGUUUAGUUUUGAGCUUUUCUUUAAUGCACUUUUCAGUUAACAAGUCAACAUCAAUUUCUUUUGCUGUAAAAAAACUUGAGGAAGGUGGCUUGAGAUUCGUCUUAAGUGUUUAUAGCCUCUUGCCUAUGCAGUCGGAGAGAUUGAGGUCUGCAGCGUAGAUCCUUCGGGGCUAAAUGCAUUUGUGCUAAGUUAUAGCAUUUUAUAGACAACUUGUUGACUAUGAUUUGUCUUGUAGCUUACUCGCUUAUGUUAUUUUACCUACGCUUAGGAUGUUGAACGCGCACAGAGUCUC